UACGUAGGGUGCAAGCGUUAAUCGGAAUUACUGGGCGUAAAGCGUGCGCAGGCGGCUUUGCAAGACAGAUGUGAAAUCCCCGGGCUUAACCUGGGAACUGCAUUUGUGACUGCAUGGCUGGAGUGCGGCAGAGGGGGAUGGAAUUCCGCGUGUAGCAGUGAAAUGCGUAGAGAUCUGGAGGAACACCGAUGGCGAAGGCAGCCCCCUGGGAUAACACUGACGCUCAUGCACGAAAGCGUGGGGAGCAAACAGG
This 253-nucleotide ribosomal RNA is filed under the name uncultured bacterium. RNAcentral's name for it is "partial 16S ribosomal RNA". It matches the Rfam family "Bacterial small subunit ribosomal RNA", at positions 524 to 776 of the family's 1533-position model. The record is from RNAcentral.